Molecule: ribosomal RNA, 1449 nt
Filed under: uncultured bacterium
Lineage: Bacteria
Description: bacterial SSU rRNA
Rfam family: Bacterial small subunit ribosomal RNA
Source: RNAcentral
AGGGUUUGAUCCUGGCUCAGGAUGAACGCUGGCGGCGUGCUUAACACAUGCAAGUCGAACGAACCUUCGGGUUAGUGGCGGACGGGUGAGUAACGCGUGAGAAUCUGCCCUCAGGAGGGGGAUAACGGUUGGAAACGACCGCUAAUACCCCAUAUGCCGAUAGGUGAAAUGAAUUUCGCCUGAGGAUGAGCUCGCGUCUGAUUAGCUAGUUGGUAAGGUAAUGGCUUACCAAGGCUUCGAUCAGUAGCUGGUCUGAGAGGAUGAUCAGCCACACUGGGACUGAGACACGGCCCAGACUCCUACGGGAGGCAGCAGUGGGGAAUUUUCCGCAAUGGGCGAAAGCCUGACGGAGCAACGCCGCGUGAGGGACGAAGGCCUCUGGGCUGUAAACCUCUUUUCUCAAGGAAGAAGAUAUGACGGUACUUGAGGAAUAAGCCACGGCUAAUUCCGUGCCAGCAGCCGCGGUAAUACGGGAGUGGCAAGCGUUAUCCGGAAUUAUUGGGCGUAAAGCGUCCGCAGGCGGCUUGUCAAGUCUGCUGUUAAAACGUGGAGCUUAACUCCAUCAUGGCAGUGGAAACUGAUAGGCUUGAGUAUGGUAGGGGCAGAGGGAAUUCCCGGUGUAGCGGUGAAAUGCGUAGAUAUCGGGAAGAACACCAGUGGCGAAGGCGCUCUGCUGGGCCAUUACUGACGCUCAUGGACGAAAGCCAGGGGAGCGAAAGGGAUUAGAUACCCCUGUAGUCCUGGCCGUAAACGAUGAACACUAGGUGUCGGGGGAAUCGACCCCUUCGGUGUCGUAGCUAACGCGUUAAGUGUUCCGCCUGGGGAGUACGCACGCAAGUGUGAAACUCAAAGGAAUUGACGGGGGCCCGCACAAGCGGUGGAGUAUGUGGUUUAAUUCGAUGCAACGCGAAGAACCUUACCAGGGUUUGACAUCCUGCGAACCUCUUAGAAAUUUGAGGGUGCCUUCGGGAAUGCAGUGACAGGUGGUGCAUGGCUGUCGUCAGCUCGUGUCGUGAGAUGUUGGGUUAAGUCCCGCAACGAGCGCAACCCACGUUUUUAGUUGCCAGCAUUUAGUUGGGCACUCUAGAAAGACCGCCGGUGAUAAACCGGAGGAAGGUGUGGAUGACGUCAAGUCAUCAUGCCCCUUACACCCUGGGCUACACACGUACUACAAUGCUACGGACAAAGGGCAGCUAACUCGCGAGAGCAAGCAAAUCCCAUAAACCGUGGCUCAGUUCAGAUCGUAGGCUGCAACUCGCCUACGUGAAGUAGGAAUCGCUAGUAAUCGCAGGUCAGCAUACUGCGGUGAAUACGUUCCCGGGCCUUGUACACACCGCCCGUCACACCAUGGAAGUUGGCCAUGCCCGAAGUCGUUACUCCAACCCUUGUGGAGGAGGACGCCGAAGGUGGGGCUAAUGACUGGGGUGAAGUCGUAACAAGGUAGCCGUA